This is a long non-coding RNA of Megalobrama amblycephala (Wuchang bream), 637 nucleotides long. RefSeq lists it as uncharacterized. The transcript has 4 exons. Lineage: Eukaryota; Metazoa; Chordata; Actinopteri; Cypriniformes; Xenocyprididae. The record is from RefSeq and is a predicted model, not a curated record.
GGGACGCGUCGCCUACUGCUGGAUCAGUUUCCUUGUGAAAUACUUUGCUCUAAAAUAACUUUAAAAUAUUCUGUCAGCACACUUUUUCGUUUUACAAGUGCCAACUUUUAAAAAAGGGAUCAUGACACAAGAAAUAGAGAGUCCACCAUGACCGACCCACAAAGAAAUAUGUGGGAACACAGCUGUCAUUUUACACCAUGAGACCUAAUUACAGUAGUUAAGUAAGAAUCUGUGUCAACACGUCAAUCGCAGCAGAACAGUUUGCCCACGUGAAAUGGACUGAACACAAAAAACCCACAAAAGACCUCUUGAUGGCAGUGUUUGUAAGAGGCACUCUCAAAACACUCCUGCUACAUGGGAAGAUGUUCCAACGCAUUCAAAGACAAAGCAGCCAAGCCUCAACUUGAUUCUGAAAAAGUGUCUUGACAUCAUUAGCUACAUCAAAAAUAAAUUUAAUGAUGAAGAAAAUGUAAUUAAGAAGGCCAUCUCCCAGAAAUGUGCCGAUGAAUGAAAGUUGGCAAAAAGGCGCCACAGUGAUUGUGUGUGUGUGUGUGUGUACGCCAGACUGAUUUGUUCAGAAAUGUUGUAUUUUACAGCUACUGCUUCAUAGUUGUGUAGUUUUUUUAAUAUAUAUUCA